Molecule: RNA transcript, 3405 nt
Organism: Triticum aestivum (bread wheat)
Lineage: Eukaryota; Viridiplantae; Streptophyta; Magnoliopsida; Poales; Poaceae
Gene name: 5-pentadecatrienyl resorcinol O-methyltransferase
Exons: 6
Source: RefSeq, a predicted model, not a curated record
CACACCGCACCACACCCUGGUGACACCACCACUGGCCCCUCAGGCGUCAGAUUCGGUGGCUGCCACGAACUCGCCGGCGCGGCGGCCACCUCACGCCAUCAGAUCGGCUGGGCGCCGUCCGCCGAGCUGCCGAGGUCAGGUCGCAACGUGCCACAAGGCGGCGUAACGUGACACGACCCGAGGGGCCCCGAGGCUGCUCAUCGUCGCACCCACCGGGCUGACGCGGCGGAGGAGCGGCAGCCCCGUCCCCGUCGGCCCAGUCCUGCACCUAGGGCUAGCGGGAGGCCGGGAGCUCGCCAAAUUAGUUGGAGGAGGCACAGGACUGAGGACCCGGAUUAUUAUUUUGGUCAUGGAGAUGGAACCAAUGUGAGGAGAAUUCUCUGAGAUCACAUGGUCCGAGAGGUUUUCGAAGGGCUGCUGGUCUCUAAUCCACGGCGAGAAUGCUGCCACGAACCUACACUCCUGCACAGUCAGUGGUCAGACUCAGACCGUAUGGAUUCCUGAUCCUUGGUAUGUGGCUUUAAUGCUUUAUGAACAAAGUCCCUUCAGUUGCCUUGGGUCACAUGAUUUCCAGCAGUUGUCUGGUCAUUAUGAUUCUGUGUAGUAUCGGUGUGGUGGGUCAUUAUGUGUUCAAUGAGGAAUGGGACUGUUGUUGUCUGCGCCUUGGAACCUUGCUAUUCCUCAGCUGUACCCUACACUCAUUUUCUUUUGAUUUUUAUGGGGCUAUUCUACGCUCGUUGAAUGCAUGAAAGGUUGGUGUUCUUUCACCAUCCUCUCGACCUCUCCUAAACCCCACUACAAUUAUGGCUUGGCGCAUUCAGAAAAUUAAUUAUGCCCACUUGUCUUUUGAUGGCACCCAUGUUUUCAUACUUGCAAACAAAAUCUAGUUAAGCUGUUACGUCUCGAUUCAAUGUAUGUCUGUUACGUUUUUAUAAAGUAUGCCCGUUUAAUAUAUUUUUUAUUCGUUUUCAGUAUAUACUAAGCUCCUUGCUAUAGAAAAAAAAUGUAAAAUUCCUUUUUGAAAAAAGAAAAAUAUAAAACUAGCCUGUCGGUCUUGUAGAGCAUUUGAGCGAUGACUUCGAGUUGCUCUCUUGAUGAUAUCAACGUUGGGAAUCAAUGAAAGCUUGUCUUUUAUGUUGGAUCUGAGUAUCAGACAUGUAAAAUCCUGACAUCGAAACAAUUUGGAGUUAUUUGCGAGGUGUGAGUCCUUGUGAUCAACAAGUUAGCUCUCGUAGUACAAUACAAAUCUAGUUAAGAUAGGAGAGAGGAUUUUUGCUAGCCACCUGUGCUCUGUGAUCUGUCCCACUAGUAGCCACAACUGCAAUACACAGUGUUCUAUAUAAAUCUAACUCAUUGUUCCCCAGAGAGUACCAAGUGCUUAAAAUGUUUUAUUCAAGUAUAGAUCUUUACAGAAGAAUGUUCAACCAUUCAUUAAAAUAUCUUCUGUUGUCUACAUAAUAGAUUUAAGUGUCGGACUGUGUUUAAUUAUGAAGAGAAGUGCGACUCAAGUGAAACGUCUGAAAUGGAGUUGAGCUAAACUUGAAACUAUCUUUUGUGAACAUUUGAUUUGAACGAGUUGUACCUGAGUAAAUAGGCUUCCAUGAAUAAUUCGUAGUGUAUUUGUACUGUCUGCAAUUGUUGCAUAGCGAAGGUCUUCUCUCAAAUGGCUUGACACAAUCCCAAUACCAUCCUUGAAUAAUUGAUUACUCAAGGCCCUAUCAUGUGCCUUAAACAUGUUGUACUUGUGUAUAUAUAACCGGUAUGACUACAAUCCACCCAUAACCAAAGAAAAACAAGCUCAACAAAAAUGCCGCCCAUCCAAGACAAGCAUAGCUCUCAGGAGCUGCUCCAGGCUCAAGUUAACCUUUGGCACCAUGCACUGGGAUUCGUCAAGUCCAUGGCACUCAAAUGUGCAAUGGAACUGCAAAUCCCUAACACCAUCCAACACCAUGGUGGGCUUAUGACCCCGUCAGAGUUGGCCACAAAGAUCGGCCUCCAUCCGUCUAAGCUUCCCCGCUUACGGCGACUCAUGCGUGUGCUCACCAUAUCAGGCAUCUUUGCUGUUCAUGAGGCAGCCUCGCCAGGCAAGGAGGUUGUUUACGGGCUUACCCCAACCACACGCCUACUCGUCGGUGAUGAAGUUAAAUCAAACUUAUUUCCUAUUCUAUCUUUGAUGCUUGAUUCAACUGUCAUUGCCCCCUUUUUGGGCAUGCACUCAUGGUUCCUAGAUGAGCAUUCCACGUCCCUGUUCAAAAAGGCCCACAGCCUUAACUUUUGGGAGAUGGCUGAGCAGGAUGAUACUUACAACCAGAUACUCAAUAAUGCAAUGGUUUCUGAUAGUAACUUUCUCACGGACAUCAUCUUAAGGGAGUGUGGUGAUGUAUUUCUUGGCAUAAACUCUCUUAUUGAUGUUGGUGGAGGCCACGGUGGAGCUGCCAGGGCAAUUGUGAAUGCAUUCCCGCAAAUGAAAUGCACCGUGUUGGAUCUCCCUCAUGUUAUUGCAGAAGCUCCUAGUGAUGUCCAUGUGUCGUUUAUUUCUGGCGAUAUGUUUAAGUAUAUUCCGCCAGCAAAUGCUCUUUUCCUAAAGUGGGUUUUUCAUGAUUGGGGUGAUGAAGACUGUGUCAAGUUAUUGAAAAAUUGCAAGGAAGCUAUUCCUCCCAGAGAUGCUGGUGGAAAGGUGAUAAUCGUAGAUAUGGUGGUUGGAUCUGGGCUAAAUGAGAUUGUAACAAGAGAGACACAUGUUUUAUAUGAUCUAUUUAUCAUGUGCGUUGAGGGGAUUGAGCGAGAGGAAUUUGAGUGGAAAAGGAUAUUCAUGGAAGCUGGAUUCGGCGACUACAAGAUUAUAUCAGUGCUGGGAGUUAGAUCUGUUAUUGAGCUCUACCCUUGAACACUCAAUUAAAAAUUACAUGGGUUUUUUUCUUCCAAAAGUUAUAUGCUUGGAUCCAUUUUAGUAAGACUGCAUCUGCAUGCUGCUGUGUUCAGAUUGCUCUUGGUGAUUCAGUGAUGCAAUUCUGAAUUUCAGUAAACAUGUGAGGAAUGGACCCAUUUUUCAGGUCCUCUCUGCCUCAGUGGCGCCUGUAAACCGGAUCAAUGGAGAUAAAGAGAAGCAUAUAUUGUCCCCAACAUUUGUCCCUGGAGAUAAUUCUGAUCUUGUGCUGGAUGUCAUCAUAUAACCAAGGGACUUGCAGUGUCAGCACUGCAAGUCUUUAGAUAGCUCUGGUAGCUUUCAGGUGUUUCACUUCAUAAAUCUUUUGAUGUUACUUACCAAAAAAGUUCAGGUAAUAGUUCUCUUUCACCGGAUUUAUGGGAUUUUUUGCUUGUAAUCUUUUUGUUAAAAAUAAAAUAAAUGAUAUAAUAAUGUUUACUAUCCUUGUUUUGUGACAUAAUUUUUUUAUAUGAAUGACG